Molecule: long non-coding RNA, 2302 nt
Filed under: Cricetulus griseus (Chinese hamster)
Lineage: Eukaryota; Metazoa; Chordata; Mammalia; Rodentia; Cricetidae
Description: lncRNA (ENSCGRG00015032723.1)
Source: RNAcentral
CUUAGAAACAAAGAAUUUACUGGCUUAAAAUUGUUCUACAGAGCCGGCCAUUUCAGGAACAGUUUAGCAAGGGAUGCAACCAGCUACAACGAAGUCUUGCUUCCCGCCCUCUGGCUUCUCUACUAAUCUGGGCAGUCCCACUGACAUACAACUGAAAGGGAAAUGCUCCUCACCACUUCAAAGUUCUGGAGAGCUCAGUCAACUCAUCCUGAAGUCCCACAUAGUGGGGCUGAAGAGAUAGCUCAGUGACUAAGAGUGAAAAGCCACAUGAAAACCAACUAUUGUAGAUGCUUCCUAAAAUAUACACAUGUGAAAGGAAUUAAAAUGGAAUUAUCUUAUAAUGCCCCAACCAGACAUGUCGCCAAGCAAAACCUCCAGUGGCAGGAAAACAGCUUUUUAGCUCUUGGCCAAAGGGGUCUCGUAGACACCCCUCCCAAACCUCACAGGCCAAGACUAUUUGCCACUCUCCACCUGAGGAAAAAACCUAAGGCUCUAUUGCUGAGGACACUAACUAUGUCAUCUUGAAGAGACACAAUACUGACAAGAAGAAACUGAACUGAUGCCCAACUAGAAGCUCCACCUAGUGACUAGUGUUGUGGGUGCUGAAAGGUGAUAGGUACUCUGCAUUGCCAGAGGAGAAAGGAGUAGUAUCACCCAACGGCAAGCAUGGCGACCCCCAAUAGGACCUGCAAGAUGGACUGGUGCAGCAGUGGCACAAAUGUCAUGGGAGUGAGCAUUUUUUUAAAAUCUCAUUGUGUGUGCAUUAACACGUGAAGUCAAAGGACAGCUCUGUGCAGCUCUUUUCCUUCCACCAUGCAGGUCACAGGUGUUAAGCACUGGCCACCUGUCUUCUGUACCUAAGCCAUCUACAAAGCAUCAACCACAUUUCAGUUAGAUUUAAGGCCCAAUCCAUACCUGGCACUGCAAAAGUAACCAAGAACCUGAGACUAAUCAAGAACCAAGACUAUACUAAGCCAUGGUAUAGGGAAAAACAUGUUUUUCCAAGAUAACUCCUGAUGACAUAUUGUUAUACUCCUAGAGCACUACUGUAUUGCUCAACCCCUCAUCAGAGCAGCUCUUUUCAAUGGAUGAUAAUUAACAGGGACCCACAACUGGUCAGUGUGCAGAGUGGAAGACUUCAGAGCACUCAAUCCUAAAUGAUAUGACAUUAAAACACUUCCCUAAAGGCUCUGCAAUCUACACAGAAUUUAAGAGCUGGUGGUGGUAGACGACUCCCAAGAAACGGUCUUCCAGAUACAAAAGGCUUGAAACACAUGAACUCAGGGACUGGUUCAGGCACAGGUUCAAACCAAAGUCCCAUCACUGAAAGGGGGAGGCAGCCAUUAACCAGGAAGCUAUUUGCAAUUGAACCACAUUGGGAAAGGGAAAAUCAGUCCUUUUUCUCCAAUAAGAGUGCCACUGGGUAUAUCAACCACAUGCCCAGUAGUUAGGCCCAAACAAAAUGCAUUCCUUUUAGCAGGCACAUUUUAGUUAUUGGAGUUUUUGAUUUUUGUUUCAUUUUUGGGAGAAAGAACUCGGGUGAGUAGGGAGGAUCUGGCUAACAUUGGGGGACUGGAAAAAUACGACCAAAAUAUAUUGUACAGAGCUCCCUUCUGAGUGCCCAUGUCAGGUUGCUCUGCCAAAGGGCACCUGCAUUUUUACGCACAAGCUCAUAAUCUUAAAAAAAAAAAAAAGUUCACACACAAAAAAAGGCCUCACACACCUCCCUGACUGACCCUAGAUCAGUUUCCAUUAAGUCUUUGCAUCUGAAUGAGAAGUGUUUUGAGAGUUCUGCUGAAAAAAUCAGUAUGAACUCUCCUGAGGAAGAGUGUAACUCUAGCAAGCACUGACAUCACUGCCAUGGUAGUAUUCUUAGCUAAUUAAUGAAGAACAUGCACGAAAGAAACAUGUUUUUCAGAGACAGGGACAUAAUUCACAGGUAGAAUGCUUGCCUAAAAUAUAUACAGCCUGUACCUCAAUUCCUAGGACAGCAAAAAAGAAAGCAGCUUUCAAAAUAUUUGAGUUUAUCUGGUAACCUUGUUUGUUUCCAAUUUGUUCAGUCCUCCUUCAGGAAACAUACUACUGACUUGGGUGGAGGCGGGGUAGGGGGCACAAGAUGAAAACCCUACAGAGGUCCAUUAACCUCUGAAUGUCUAGGUAUUCUGCAUCCUGCUUCAAGGUGCUGAAAGAGGUAGCAUUCCCUGUAAAACCAUUCACAAUGAGGUUAAGUACGAUCCCACCACUUACUAGCUCCAUAACUUGGUCAAAGCUUUGCAAUGCAUAAACAGCUCCUAUCCCAUAG